AACGAAUGCUGGCGGCAUGCCUAACACAUGCAAGUCGAACGAGACCUUCGGGUCUAGUGGCGCACGGGUGCGUAACGCGUGGGAAUCUGCCCUUGGGUUCGGAAUAACAGUUAGAAAUGACUGCUAAUACCGGAUAAUGUCUUCGGACCAAAGAUUUAUCGCCCAGGGAUGAGCCCGCGUAAGGAUUAGCUAGUUGGUGAGGUAAAGGCUCACCAAGGCGACGAUCCUUAGCUGGUCUGAGAGGAUGAUCAGCACACUGGGACUGAGACACGGCCCAGACUCCCU
Molecule: ribosomal RNA, 285 nt
Filed under: uncultured bacterium
Lineage: Bacteria
Description: partial 16S ribosomal RNA
Rfam family: Bacterial small subunit ribosomal RNA
Source: RNAcentral